This is a long non-coding RNA of Herpailurus yagouaroundi (jaguarundi), 1709 nucleotides long. RefSeq lists it as uncharacterized. NCBI's taxonomy places the organism in Eukaryota, Metazoa, Chordata, Mammalia, Carnivora, Felidae. The transcript has 4 exons. The record is from RefSeq and is a predicted model, not a curated record.
AUUUAUUGGGUACCUACUGUGUGCCGAGCCCUCAGUGAUUUUCUGCCUAGGAAUGUCAAACACGGCGUUCAACAAAUCUUUGAAAUGAGGAAGAGUCUUGCCCAGCUGAGGUCCUGCUGACUUCAAGUUCAGUGUUCAUCUCGUUCCACUAGGAAUUUCAGCUCUGGAGCUGUAUAGCCCUGUCUUCUCUGCCGUGUCCCAGCUCGGGUACAGCAGCACGUGGCUCACGCCUCCGAAGUACGUACACUAAGAACACUGUGUGAGUGAUAAACUAAGAGGAUGGAAAAUUUUACCAAGAGAUAAUCAUGGUCUUGGCCUGCUCUCCUUUGAUAAGUCCGAGACUCCCAGGGAUGUUUCCUCCAUCCUCCUUGGAGUCAGUCUGGUUUUCCAGCCUCAAGGAGAGAAAACAAGAGAAUUUGCUCAAAUGGCUUGUACAUUCCAUUCUUUAUGGCUCUUGUUGAUGUCUGAUGCUGCCACUGAGACAAGUGAUCCAAGGGCUCUCUUGAAUUCUCCCUGUCCUAGAAUUAUGCUCAACCAUGGUAACUCAAUCCUAUAUAGGCCUGGGAUCCCAGCUCUUUAUACACGGACACACACACACACACACACACACACACACACACAGCCACUGCCACAACUCAUUCUCCAUGGUGCCUGAGUCAUUGUUGCUGAGGGUGAAUGAGAUCCCUUCCUUUAUCUCCCAAGCCCUUGGUCUAUUCACAUUUAUCUCCCUAGAAUAUCAUUCCACUCAGUGGGUAACUUCAGUUGUUCCAAUGGUAAUAACAGCUACCAUUAUUUGAAAGCCAAGUGUUCUGCUAUUGUAUCUUCACAAACAUCAAUCCUCAGAAUGAACCUAUGAGGCAGGUACUGUUAUUCUUACUUCCCAGCUGGAGUCUAUGAGGUUCAAGUAUGUUAAGGGGUUUGCUGGAGAUCCACACCUUGCAAGUAAAACAAUCUUAGAUUUUAACCCAGUUUUGUCUAACUCCAAAACCCACACUCAGAACCGCUACCCUACACGGCCUCUCUAGGAAGGGAUAUAAACAAGAAGUUCAUAAUAAAUGGUAAAUGAAGAAGUAAAAUCGUAAUGAAUAGAAUUGUGCAAAAAUGUCUGCAUGUCAAGAGUAUUUGCUGUGCAAGACAGGGUUGUGUAUGUUUUUUCUCCUCUUAGAUAAUUUCCUCUAGUGACAGUUAUACGGUUUUUACAGUUAAAAGAAGCUGUCCUCCACCUGCAAAGAUGACUGCCUUUAGCCUCAUAGUUCUUAGCCUUGGUUGCACAUGAGAAUCCCCUCGAGGGUCUAUUUGAAAAGAUACACAGUGUCUGGAGUCCAUUGCAGAUGAAGCAUGUCAGGCUCUCUCUGGGGGCUGAGUCCAGGCAGCAGUAUUCUAAGAGCUGAUUUUAGUGUGCAAGCAGGAUUCAGGAACAACUUUAUGGAGAAGCUUCACCUCCCACUGUUCUUCUUCUGGAGAAUCUAGCUUCCUUGUGUCCUGUAACUCCAUGCUACUUGAUGCAAGCUUUUCUUUCUUUGCCCAGGAAGGGGCUAGUAAUAUGACUUAUUUCCCAAUCUUCUGUUCAGAGGGGCACUGAGAAGACUUUUUGGCUGAUAGAAAUAUUCUACAUCUUGAUUGUGGUUAUAUGACUGUAUACAUUUGCCAAAACUCACUGAAAAAAGGUGAAUUUUAUUUUAUGUAAACUAUACUUUAUUAAGCCAUUA